Molecule: transfer RNA, 58 nt
Filed under: Aptenodytes forsteri (emperor penguin)
Lineage: Eukaryota; Metazoa; Chordata; Aves; Sphenisciformes; Spheniscidae
Rfam family: tRNA
About the family: Transfer RNA (tRNA) molecules are approximately 80 nucleotides in length. Their secondary structure includes four short double-helical elements and three loops (D, anti-codon, and T loops).
Source: Rfam by way of RNAcentral
GUGGUGAGCAUAGCUGCCUUCCAAGCAGUAGACCCGGGUUAGAUUCCUGGCCAAGGCU